Molecule: non-coding RNA, 3143 nt
Organism: Carica papaya (papaya)
Lineage: Eukaryota; Viridiplantae; Streptophyta; Magnoliopsida; Brassicales; Caricaceae
Source: RefSeq, a predicted model, not a curated record
UUCUCUCUCAGUUUCCCCUUCCAGUUCUUCUCUUUUGCUCUCUCUGCCUAAUCUUUGUCUCUUUAACUAAUUCAAGUUCUUGAUUUCUUUGCUGUGCUUGAGUAAUUUGUAAAAAUAGUGUAGAGAGUGUAAAGAUGUUCACAGAGGGUUCAGAUGAAAAUGCAAUCAACUGGAUCAAGAAGGGGACGGAUACGGAUCAAGAACCCUGCAUCAGAUCUCCCUUUAACAAGAAUCUACCUCUUGAUACAUUUCCGAAAUCUUCUCUUUCCUACAAUACUCCUACUGCUUUCAUGUCUCCUCAUGGGCUGCCACCAUUGAGAUUCCACUCUGCCUUCUUAACUCCUCACAGCCUUGCGGCUUCUUGCCUCGAUGAUGAAGACAAGAGAGUGACGAUUCAGUUUCUGAUGGUGCCCGUGGUAGCUUCUCUGUGCGUAAAGAAGAGGAGGAGGAGGUUUUGGGACCUAGACAGGAUAAUGAUGAAGAGGAGGUUCUUGGUAACAAGUAUAGGUCAAAGUUAAAUGGAGGGUUCUUGAAGGAAAAGAAUUUGAGGAUUGAGAUCCCGGCAGUAACAGAAGAUUAACAGAUGGCGAGUUGGGGAUGAGGAAAUUUGCCAUCAAGAAUUCGUUCCCAGGUGGUAGCGCUCGGCUUGGAGAAGGAGUUCAAUCACCCAAUGCCCAGGUUACUCCUGUCGACUCUAAAAGCAUUCAUGUAGAGGUAGAACAUACGGGUACGACCAAAGUGCACCACCUAUAAUUGAGAUUGAAAGAGAAGUGAAGAGCUUUGCAGAAGUUGAGCAACAUUAAGUAAGAAUUUCCAAGGAGAGGGAAUCAGAAUUUGAUGGUAGGAAAGAAUGUUCAGCAGAUGAUAGCAAGAUGCAAGCUUUAAAAGACACUGGUAGCGAGAGAGUGGACCUAUUGUGGAAACUCUAGCAUAUGAUUUGCUUUUGGAGGAUGCUAUGCGUGCACUACAUUUUCAUUCCCGGAACUUGAGGUUGCAUGGACCUUUGAAAUGUUACCUCUCACAUGUUAUGGAUGUAACUACUCCGACAAAGAACUGCCUAGAGCUUGUGAAUGAGUUACUUGUACUCAUUUUAAAGGUAAAAGAGUGAGAGAAAUUAGACAAGGCAGGAGGUAUGCCUCUCCAGAUUUCAAUAUUUUCUCGGGAAGUUUGAAAUACUGUAGCUGUUGAGUAAUUAUUUGUCUCCUUAGUUUUUGGUAAUAUUUGGUUUCAUUGCUGGGAAAGAGAAAUAAGCAUGACUUUGUUUUCCUGAUUUGAUGAUAACGUUUCACGGAAGGUUUUAUGAAGCUGCUUUCUUACAAUUAUUUUCACGUGCCUUGAUGUUUGACAUCUAUAUUAGAAGUAUAUCAUAUCCGGAUGUUCUUAUGAUGAAAAGACACAUUCUGCUGGUCAUAUUUUGUAAACAUGGUGUAAUGUCUCCUUAGUUUUUGAUAAUAUUUGGUUUCAUUGCUGGGAAAGAGAAAUAAGCAUGACGUUGUUUUCCUGAUUUGAUAAUAACGUUUCACGGAAGGUUUUAUGAAGCUGCUUUCUUACAAUUAUUUUCACGUGCCUUGAUGUUUGACAUCUAUAUUAGAAGUAUAUCAUAUCCGGAUGUUCUUAUAAUGAAAAGACACAUUCUGCUGGUCAUAUUUUGUUAACAUGGUGUAAUGGCUGCCAAGGAGCUAACAAAGUUCAGAAGUAAAAGCUUAUAUCCUUUGAGACACACAUAGCUAGCUGGAUAAAGAUUAACAGUACAAGAAAUUUACAAGUGAUUGUGCUAGCAUAUUGUCAGGUACCUUUGAUAUGUACCUGGUGCAUGUUAAAGUGUAAACAGAUGAGAGAAAAGAUUAUAAAAGAAAUGAGAAGACUACAGGAGAGAAGGAAGGAGAAAGGCUAAGCAGACCCGAGAAAGAUUUGAAUUAGAAGAAUCUUUUCUUUGCAUUAAGACUUACCGUGGUGAUAAAAUGUUCUACAGAAUACAUAUAGCCUACAAAAACUAGAAAAAUCACAAAAGUCCCUGCAUGGGUUGGGUCCCUUAUCUCUUGAUUUGGGGGAGCUACUUAAUAAAAUUCAUUAAGAUGUGGGGCUAGGUUGGAUUGAGAGAGUGGUUAUAGAAAUCCAACGGUGGAAACUUUCUGUUUUACAUCUCUGGCAUGUCUCACAUUUUUGCACUUAUUCCACUACAUUUUCUUUCAUAGCAGACCAGAAAAAUUGUUAUUUGAGGAGUUCAUAAAUGUCUCUGAUUCUCUGUCAUGGCACCUUUGGAUUAGUUUCUCCUAAUUCUCCUAAUGUUUUAAUGACCAACCUAUCCUUGUAUCUCAAUAUUCUUGCCUUGAGUUGAUAGCAUGGUAGGGCAUCCUUCUUAAUUAGAAAUUGUUUCAUUAGUUCUUCAGUAAGAGGAUCUCCGUGGUAGCUUGUCGUGAUUUUUGCGAGCCCAGAGGGUGAAUUAGCGGUAACUGCCGAUAGCUUUACCACCUCCUCUUUUUUCUUCUGAUUUUCAUAUUUUCUUCUGGAGAGUGCAUUAAUCAUCUUGUUUUUUACACCUUCUUUUGUACUAAAUAGAGUAGUUCAAUCCCAACAAUUUUACAAUUUCCUUUUGUUGCAGCAUGAAAGUUACCAUUUGUUCCAUUAGGUGUUUAAAACUUUUUUUAUCUGUUUUUAUGAUAAAGGGAGCAUCUUCCAAGUAAUGUCUCCAUUUGCUAACUGCAUAACGGAUGACAAAUAGCUGUUUUUAUGAUAAAGGGAGCAUCUUCCAAGUAAUGCCUCCAUUUGCUAACUGCAUAGAAGAUGACAAAUAGCUCUUUUUUGUAAAUCAAUAGCUUUUGAUUCUUUUUAUAGAAGCCCUUGCUAAUAUAGACAAUAGGUUUUUUUCUUGUACAAGUACAAGCUCUACUCCUUCACAAACAUCAGCUUCCAGAUUUAAUUAUUUAAAAUAUAUCCUGAGAAGCCCUAUCAAACCCUUACAUUUGAUCUAAAGAAUAAUAAAGUUAAGAAAAGUGUUCUGUGUGGCAGUAAAGAGGAGUUCUCUUAAGCCCUUAGGUUUCAUUAGUUACCCUCGCCAAAGAAGUUACUGACUGAGACAAGUAUUAUAUGCUUUUGUAGUGAGAGUUGGAUUAAAACAUGAUACAUUGGGGGAUAAAAGAUUA